UGAGUUGACAAAGUCUGUAGUUGAAGAAAACAUAUCAACCCAGCCAUGUCAAUCGACAUCAAAGUCAACACCUGUUCCAGGAAACACAACUACACUUAAUGGCUACCAGCAUACAUCGCAGGAUACUUAUGAACAAGAAGGUGGAACGUCACACAUUGCUGAACUGUUGUUUAGUGAAGAUGAUGAUGAUGAUGGAGAUGAUACGUCACAUGAAUUUGAAGGAAUGCCAGCUAAUUUUUUAUGUGGUGGGGAGUAUUUGGAAAAAACACUGACUCUCAAGAAAAUUUUACAGCAUUUUGCAGUGUCGACGAAUCAAAAGAAAAGUCAUAUGACAUACUUGUUGAAACUUUUGAUUGAAUAUCAGCCUCUUCCAGCCUACGACUCAUUGCCAGCUACAGGCCAGCAGUUACUUUAUAUAGAUGGGAGAGAUGUAGUGAAUCAAAGAAGCGCACAAACCUUGAAUUGUCACAAACACCUAGCUCUACUGAACAACCGACGAGAAAAAAAAAGAGAAAACCGAUACCUUUACCCCCUGUUAUAAAUUUGGACGACGAGGGCAAUACCCUAUACGUGCACUUUGGGCUAGAAAACGCAUUAUGUGGUGAUUCUGUUGGCAUCUAUUUUAAACACGCGGAUAUUCUCCAGUAUGCUGGCAUCUAUAGGACAAAUCCUGAAGCUUUGCCCUUUUGUUUAAGAAACAAGAUUUACAAGAUGGAUAAGAAAGUUGAAGUGGAGCAGGCCAAAGCAUUUCUUCAAGGCCGUCGCUUGGAUGAUACGGACAACGCAGUUUUGAUCUCUCGUCAUGUGACACACUUUGAGGUGGAUUUAAGUGCGGAUGGAGUUCAGUUUUUCGACAAUUCAGAACAGUCUGAAUGCAUCCCUAUCUGUAUGAUAGUCCAUUCAGUGAGUGAGUCUACUGAUCUAUCCAAGUGCAAGCGUAUUUUACUUAAAGUGCGAAAACCUGUUAUUAUUGGCGUUGCUCAUUGCAAAACAAAACCAGACGUGAAGAAAUUCCUUGCCCCUUUGAUUCAAGAAUUAGUGCGACUUGAUCCGACGAAUCUGGAUGACCAAGUUACUGCUGGUCGACAAUUUACAGUGUCAAUUCGGUGCAUCAUAGCCGAUUGGCCUAUGCGAUCGUAUCUUAAACGAAUAAAGGGACAUUCAGGUUAUUGGUCCUGCGAACGCUGUAUUCAGGAAGGUGUACGAUGCAUUUAUCAUCCCACAGUGCCACUCAAAGCAGGAGAAGAGCCGAAAACUAGUAUUCAAUUUUUGGAACUGAACGCCCCCCCCCCCAAGAACUGAUGAGGAUUUUUUGUCAUAUUGUGAAAGCGAUGAAAGUAGAGAUAACCACAUAACUAAUAUUAACGAUAUUAGUCCAUGUGUUGAAUUGAAUGUUCCAAUGGUUACUGCAUUCCCCAUUGAACCGAUGCAUACAAUGUAUGCAUGUUGUUUUGGCAGAUUACUAAAGGGAAUAGUAUCAGUUCAAAAGGAGGGUAAAAUAAGCAAAAAUCUUUUGUCUUUAAUAGAUUCGAGACUGCGACUUUUCAAAAAGUGCAAGCCAUUUGAGUUUGACAGAUACCUUCGAUCACUUAAAAAUUGCGUAAACAAGUAUAAGCAUCAUGAAUUAAGAGAUUUGUUGAUUUACUUUCUUUUUCCAGUAUUUAGUGGCAUUUUGAGUGAAAAACAAUUUAACAACUUAAUGUUGCUUCAAUAUGCGAUGCUCUUAAUGGGAGGGUUUAACCCAAACCCGGUACCAAAAGAGAAUGCCUUGCGAGCAUCGCGUGUUUUGAAAUUUUUUGUUCAGCAACUUAUCGAUUUUGGCUAUCCAAUCAGGCCGACUACACACGCAGUUAUUCAUCUUCCGGAAGACGUUAUUCAUUUUGAUUGUGGAAUUGAAUCUUUGAGUGCUUUCCCUUACGAAAAUUUCUACAGAUUCUUUAGAAACAUUCUUUCUUCGGGAAAUAAACCUUUAGAGCAGAUAAGAAACAGAUUAGUAUAAAGAUCGAAGUAUCUUUUGCCCACUUCUUCUGAUGGAAUGAUCAUUAAUUCAUCACAACAGCUUUUGUUGGGAAAAGAGCAAGAAAUGAAUUCUAGUAACAAGGUCGUUUUAAGUUUCAAAAAUGAAAAAGGGCCCGAGAAGGAGAAAAAAAUCACGUUCCACGAUUUCGUUUUAUCAAACAAAUUCCCUAACAAUGUUGCUCUAAUGAAAAACGGAAAUGUAGUCGUCUGUACUGAUGUCAUCGAAAAUCCCCCGGAAAGUAAAGUGUUGCUCAUCAUUGGUUCCAAAUUUUCCUUAAAAAAAGAUGCGUUCCAUUAUCCUUAUCCCUCAUCUACCUAUGGGACUCAUAUUGUUUCUAAACUUGAAAAUAGAAUAGGUGAAUGGAAUUAAAAUUGCUUACAGGGGA
This 2405-nucleotide long non-coding RNA is filed under the name Daphnia pulex (common water flea). Its description in RNAcentral is "uncharacterized LOC124200383". Lineage: Eukaryota; Metazoa; Arthropoda; Branchiopoda; Diplostraca; Daphniidae. The record is from RNAcentral.